This 72-nucleotide transfer RNA is filed under the name Dipodomys ordii (Ord's kangaroo rat). It matches the Rfam family "tRNA". Rfam says of the family: Transfer RNA (tRNA) molecules are approximately 80 nucleotides in length. Their secondary structure includes four short double-helical elements and three loops (D, anti-codon, and T loops). Lineage: Eukaryota; Metazoa; Chordata; Mammalia; Rodentia; Heteromyidae. The record is from Rfam by way of RNAcentral.
UGGGAUGUGGUUCAGUGGCAGAGCACUUAUCUCGUAUGAAUAAGACUCUGGGUUUGGUCCCUAGCAUCACAA